Molecule: ribosomal RNA, 469 nt
Filed under: uncultured bacterium
Lineage: Bacteria
Description: partial 16S ribosomal RNA
Rfam family: Bacterial small subunit ribosomal RNA
Source: RNAcentral
GACGAACGCUGGCGGCGUGCUUAACACAUGCAAGUCGAACGAUGAUCUCCCGCUUUCGGUGGUGAUUAGUUGCGAACGGGUGAGUAAUACGUGAGUAACCUGCCCUUGACUCUGGGAUAAGCCUCGGAAACCGGGUCUAAUACUGGCUACUACUUCUUUCCGCAUGGUUGGGGGUGGAAAGGGUUUUACUGGUUUUGUAUGGGCUCACGGGCUAUCCGCUUGUUGGUGGAGUAAUGGCUCACCAAGGCGACGACGGGUAGCCGGCCUGAGAGGGUGACCGGCGACACUGAGACUGAGACAAGGCACAGACACCUACGGGAGGCAGCAGUGGGGAAUAUUGAACAAGGGGCGGAAGCCUGAUGCAGCGACGCCGCGUGAGGGAUGACGGCCUUCGGGUUGUAAACCUCAUUCAGAAGGAAAGAAGCCACAAGUGACGGUACCUGCAGAAGAAGCGCCGGCUAACUACGUG